CCUACGGGUGGCAGCAGUGAGGGAUAUUGCACAAUGGGGGGAACCCUGAUGCAGCGAAGCCGCGUGGGUGAUGGAGGGUUUAGGCGCGUUAAGCUCUAUCGGUCGGGGAGAAGGAGGAUGGUACCUGACUAUGAAGCACAGGCUAACUACGUGCCAGCAGCCGCGGUAACAUGGAGGGGGCAAGCGUUAUCCGGAUUUACUGGGCGUAAGGGGGGCGCAGGCGGCAGAGCAAGACCGGAGUGAAAGCCUGGGGCCCAACCCCGGUAGUGCUCUUGGAACUGCGCGGCUUGAGUGCAGGAGGGGCAGGCGGAAUUCCUGGUGUAGCGGUGAAAUGCGUAGAUAUCAGGAGGAACACCGGUGGCGAAGGCGGCCUGCUGGACUGCGACUGACGUUGAGGCCCGAAAGCGUGGGGAGCAAACAGGAUUAGAUACCCGAGUAGUC
RNAcentral lists this ribosomal RNA (441 nucleotides) under uncultured bacterium. RNAcentral describes it as "partial 16S ribosomal RNA". It matches the Rfam family "Bacterial small subunit ribosomal RNA", at positions 338 to 795 of the family's 1533-position model. The record is from RNAcentral.